UUUUUUUUCCCAGGACAGGUCAAUCCCCGCAUCUUUCUUAAAAUUAGAUAGGCUCCUGGGUGUCUUUGCUAUUUCAUAGGUCAAAGGUCAAUUUGACAGAAGUAAAUCAACCCAUUAAAGUAUUAAUUUAACUUUUUUUUACAACCUGUUACAAGUCUGGGGAUUUCUCAGCACGAAAGGGAAGUUUUAUACUUUCCUUUUUGAAGGUUUUAACGUUUGAGGGACUUUUUUAAUAUCCAGCUACAGGGGUUUAAUGAUCAGGCUGAUAUCUGUUCACAUCUGACUAUUUUGUCUUCCACACUUCUCACCGGGGGAAAGAAAAUCAAUUCAGAGUAGCCUCAAAUUCAAAAAUGCAUCAACAAAACCUGAUGUUCGAAAUUAAAGGAAAGCACUCGAAUUCUUUAGUUUCACGGACUUGGGAUUUUCCAGCUUCGGUCUUCUGAUGCGACUCCAAGCAGCUGCCGAAGUGCUGAUGUUUGUUCUACCUAAAACUGACUCACACUGACGGAGACGCAGACAGUGCAGAGUGCACCUUUGAACUGAAACACCACGAUGGCUUGUUAACUUUCAGUUUUACGAGCUUGCGUGUGUGACAACUGUUGCCGAGAGUCGGCUGGGAAGCAAGCAGGUGAGGACAUAAAAUAAAAAGAAAGAAAGAAAGUUCAGAGGGAAAUUUUGGAUUUUGUCAGGUCUGAUCCCUGCUUGGUACAUUCAUCGUCCAGGCCCAAACCAUCGAGGAAUGGAGGGGCCCCGGAGCUCAGCCAAGCGCUGCGGCAGCCAAGGAAAGAGAGUUGAGAUAGUUUUGAGGAGAGACUUCAAAGAGAUCAAAGAAAAAAACACGCUGUGGACUUCCCUGGAGAGCCGGGCCGAUUCCUCGCCAGUAAAGCAGCCUUUUCCAGGGGAGUGAAGGUUUGGCAGCAUCAACUCUCCCACCCGGCGGUCCCGCUAGAUCAUUACUGGAAUGUGAAUAUAUAUAUAUCAAUUUUAACAAGCAAUUUAUUUGACCCGGUACUGGGUUUGUAAAGACGACUCCAGCGCCAUUGUGCGGUAUUGCUCAUUUCCUGCCGCCCUCUCCCUGUUCUGUCGAUGCUUUUCCAACUUUUUCCAUGCUUAUACAAAUGUUCGGUUUUUCUGAUUAUCUGAAGUAAAUAUGAAAAAAAAAAAACUCCCUCCGGGAGAGAGGGGAGCGGUAACUUGAUGCUGUAAGUGUGUGAAAUACAUAAUGACCAACACAUCUUGCUUUGGUUUGUCUGUGAGUUGCCACACAUGGAUACAGUAGGUCGCUCAAAGGGAAAGUUAAAUUUUUGUUUAAAUAUUAUUGCAUUUUGAAAAUGGAGAAAUGCAAAGGCAGCAUCUUUAGCUUCUAAUGGGUAUUUGUCAAACCCCCACCUCCGGCCAGUCAGUUGGUUUUGUCAGUUGGUCGGCAGUAGUUCCCUAGUGGGAAUAAUUAAUGAUCUUAAUGAGGGCCACUGAUAUCUGAGUGUGUGCACUUUGUUGUGGCUUGAAUUUAUUGAAUUUAAGGGGAGGUAUGGGCUCUAUUGAAUAUCGUUCUAGUUUUCUUGCCACUUGGGAGCCGCAGCAACAUGUUGUGAAUACAUCGUUGGCAUAUUUUUGUAGUUGAUACAGCAGUUACAGAGCAACACAGCAGUAACUCUUUUAGCUCUGUUUUUGGUCUCCACCACCUCCUCAGGGAAAUGUCAUGCUCCUUAGCUGGUAAAUGCUCCACGUUGUUCUCCAGAAUUAGCAUAUAGAAUAUCAAUUUUGUCUUUGGAUUACGAACAUUUUAUUGAUUUUUGUGCCUGGGGCAAAACCAAAGUUAAAAUACAGUAAUUCCUCAGUGGAUGUGGCGUGCAGUGAAGAAGAGAUCGUAGUGCUGCUGCUGCUAAACAGAUGAGCACAGUCCGCGGAAACACUGGAUGUAAUUCAGCCCGCAUGGAAGUUGCCCUUGCGUUGUUCGGCAGCUGCCAUCGUCACCCACAAUGUCACCACUUUAUUUUCACUGAUAAAGG
RNAcentral lists this long non-coding RNA (2009 nucleotides) under Scophthalmus maximus (turbot). Its description in RNAcentral is "lncRNA (ENSSMAG00000035303.1)". The record is from RNAcentral. Lineage: Eukaryota; Metazoa; Chordata; Actinopteri; Pleuronectiformes; Scophthalmidae.